GUUUGGGGUAGGGUAGAGGGGUUCGCCCUCCCUCCUCGUAUGAGUCCGAGAUGGGCGAUACGCGGAUACCAGGAACCUCCUGGACGCGGUGUGUGGGUGGCUGGGGCGGCGGCUCCCGCGAUGCAGCCCAUAGCUGGGGGGUGUGUGGGUUCGGUCGGGGUGCCUGUAGGGGUGCUUCGGCCGAUCUGUGAGGGGGACCGGGUCAGGCCCGGGAGGGAGCAGCCUAACCCUCGACCAUGCACGUUCCCAGCCUGUAAGGGUGAAGGGUUGGGUGCCGUUAAGCUCUUAGUUCCCCGCGCACUGUGUUUAGGGGGGUCCCGCUG
This 323-nucleotide signal recognition particle RNA is filed under the name Candidatus Marsarchaeota G2 archaeon BE_D. RNAcentral describes it as "signal recognition particle sRNA". It matches the Rfam family "Archaeal signal recognition particle RNA". Lineage: Archaea; Thermoproteati; Thermoproteota. The record is from RNAcentral.